Molecule: ribosomal RNA, 463 nt
Filed under: uncultured bacterium
Lineage: Bacteria
Description: partial 16S ribosomal RNA
Rfam family: Bacterial small subunit ribosomal RNA
Source: RNAcentral
GACGAACGCUGGCGGCGUGCUUAACACAUGCAAGUCGAACGGAAAGGCCCUUCGGGGUACUCGAGUGGCGAACGGGUGAGUAACACGUGGGUGAUCUGCCCUGCACUUUGGGAUAAGCCUGGGAAACUGGGUCUAAUACCGAAUAGGACCACGCGCUUCAUGGUGUGUGGUGGAAAGCUUUUGCGGUGUGGGAUGGGCCCGCGGCCUAUCAGCUUGUUGGUGGGGUAAUGGCCUACCAAGGCGACGACGGGUAGCCGGCCUGAGAGGGUGACCGGCCACACUGGGACUGAGAUACGGCCCAGACUCCUACGGGAGGCAGCAGUGGGGAAUAUUGCACAAUGGGCGCAAGCCUGAUGCAGCGACGCCGCGUGAGGGAUGACGGCCUUCGGGUUGUAAACCUCUUUCACCAGGGACGAAGCGUAAGUGACGGUACCUGGAGAAGAAGCACCGGCCAACUACGUGC